This is a long non-coding RNA of Triticum urartu, 5747 nucleotides long. RefSeq lists it as uncharacterized. NCBI's taxonomy places the organism in Eukaryota, Viridiplantae, Streptophyta, Magnoliopsida, Poales, Poaceae. The record is from RefSeq and is a predicted model, not a curated record.
GGGCCAGCCCAUUUUCGGAUUUCAUCCCUCGUUUCUGGAUCGUCGCGUCUCUUCAGAUUGUAUAAAAGCCGCUGUAACCAUCGACAAGAGUAAUCGAUCAUUUGAUUCCGAAUACGCUCUAUUCAUUUGAUUUCGGAUACGCUCUAUUCACCUCUUGUCAGAGGCCAUCCCCCGUAUCACUUCCACCACCAUUUAGCCAGGAGAGAGAUUAUCUUUGACUCGAAGCCCCCCUUUUUUCUUGGAUCGACACACCCGACCUCAGCGCCCCAGCGCGAUGAAUAGCUGAUCCCCUUCUCGAUCGGCCGGCGAAGCACGGGCGGUUUGGCCGACACAAUCAAAAUCGCGGGCGGUGGUUCGUUCAUCCUGCACCCACCCACACGCUUACCCAGAUCUCGCGCGCCGCCGCCAGGGCAAUGGUGUCUGAGCCCGACCCCGACCCCGACCCCGACCCCGACGUCUCCCUCCUGCCCCCCCGCUCCGAACCCUAGCCACAAACCCUGCCUCCGGGCAGCCAAGACCACGGCCUUCAAGCGCGAGGAGCGCCACAAGCACAAGGAGCAGAAGCGGGAGCGCAAGGAGCAGCGCAAGGAGCAGAAGCGGGAGCGCCGCUAGCGCAAGGAGGAGAAGCGCGAUCGCCGCAAGCGCAAGGAGGAGAAGCGCGAGCGCCGCAAGCACAAGGAGGAGAAGCGCGAGCGCAAGCGGCAGCGGAAGCGGGAGGACACCCUCGCCCUCGCGCUCGCCCAGUGGGAGCCCCUCGGUGCCCCGGCUGCCGCCUCCGCCCCCUGCGCGCCACCCGAAGACAGGCCCGGGCCGCGUGACCCGUCCUCGCCCGCGGGCGCCGCGCCCUCCGCCUCCUGGAUCUGGGGCCCUCCAGCGGAACCCUCCGCCGACAGGGCCUAGGGACGCGGGCUCUGAGCCCGAGGGGAUUCUACGAGGCGGAGCGAGGGAGACGGGGUGGUUCCUGUGCCUGGUGUGCGAGGGGAUCGGCGCCAAGGCGGGCAUGCGGUUCCCGGGCUGCUGGUGCAGCACGCCGGCUCGGUCGCCCGGGCCAAGAGGCGGCUCACGCCGCCGCCCUGGGCUGCCUGCUCGGACAACGCCCUUUCCGGUAGAUUGUGACAACGAUGGCUCUUGUGAUCAAGCUGAGCACUUGGAUGAUUCUGAAAGUGCAGAAAUGGAGGUGGCCUAAUUUUUUUCUUCGUGCUAAGUUAGAGAUUCUUUCUUGGUCAGAAAGCUUAGAAAUACAUGUGAUCUGGUUUGAUGUAUGGAUAACCUGGAUGGUCAUUGUCAACGCCUGCGUCUAAUCUAGUUCGAUGCUCUGGUAUUGUUGAUGCUUGUUUUUAACAUCUAAAGCUGUAUUAAAAGUUCAGUUUUACUAUUUUUCAGCCGUCUGUUUUUAAUUUCGCUUCAGGUCAUUUUUUGGGCCGUUCGUUCCGUAUGAAUCUCAGUGCUGCUCUGUGUUCUGUGCGUGCGAGUCUGGGGCUUUGUUUGUUGUUGUUGGGCUUCUUUUCGUUUCCGGAUUUGCGGGUCGCUCAUUUUGGGCCCCGCCCGUCGUGCCGUGCUGCCUGCUCAUUUUUUUGCCGGAUUUUGCUUAGCUGAGGAGGGGAUUGGAAUGGGGCUGGGUUGCGGAAACAGGGAGGAAGCGGCAUCUCGCUCGUGAAUCAGUGGUAGGAGUUGGCUAGCGGCCAUGGAUUGCGGCGAGCUGCCGACGAGCAGCGCUGGUAGGAGGGAGGCGCGUGGUCCGGGAACGGCGGGAGGCAAGAGGGGUGUUGGUUUGGACAGGAGUUCUCCGGAGCUCUGCCGCCGUCAGUGAGUGGUGGGUGUGGGCGUGGGGUAGCAGUCAUGGUCUCCGGUCGGACGGAAGGUAUUGCCUGAUUUGCCCCUUCGCCUUCCUCUGUCUAAUUUGUGCCCAGUAGCUAAUUUUUCCUCUUUUCUUUUUCUUCGUCUAUGCGUGCAUCGUGUUUACUCAGAUCUCAGUUCCAUUUUUGAAGGCUGUUGUCAUCUGUGGUGGGCUAGCAAUUUUCAUGCGAUAGCAUAGCACAGGAAUAGCGCUUGGCAAAUCGUUUCUGAAAUUCUGCGUGUUCAACGUGUCUGAUUGGGGAGAAGGGGCCGAUUUCUUAUAUUUUCCAUAUAUGUGUUGCUCCUGUUGCUGCGAAUUGCGUUUUUACUGAUCUAAUUAGCUAUCAGUCAUGCUUCCAAAUCAUUUUUAUUGCUAGAACUACUGUUUGUUAAAGCACUAAAAGCUUUUGUACUGAUGUAAUCAGCUGUGUGUGGUACUGUUAACCAGAUUUGUUUUCAUUUUUUAGAGCCAUCGUAUGUUAGUAAAAACUGUAAGGUAGCUGAAACUGCAUCGCUCCUUAAAUGCGAUAAUGAGACGCUGUUAAUCAGCGCUUCUUUGCAUUAGAAUAUCCUAUUUUUUUUGUAAAACUGCAGGCCCUGAUGGAUGUGUCAGUUUAGUUUUCUUCAUUUUAGUUUUUCGUUUCUGCAGCGAGAUCUUAUGCAGGAUAAGUCAGGGAUAGUAGUAUGGGAUAAUCACUUCUGUAGGUUCAGGGAAUCAGGUUUUAUACUCGUUGGGGAUGUUGUUUGUAUAAUUUUAUCUUAUGCAAAAUAAGUUUGGAUUAUAUUAUGGGGCAAUUAGUUUUUGUAGGUUCAGCAAUCAGUUUUUGGGAUAAUAGAGUGGGAUAAUCAGUUUUUUAUGGCAUAACUAAUUGUGAACUGAUUAUCAGUGUAGUUUUAGUUUUUCCUGAGUUUUGUGUAGCCCAUCAUCUUUACUUUUCUGUAUCUUCUCCAUUUUAUUUUCAGUUUAGCUGCGAAAUAGGCAAUUAGUCAGCAUAUCAUGUUUUCACCUUGUUUUAUUCAGUAAUAUUUUAGUCUUAGAUAUUCCCCAGUGAUAUUCAUUCGUUCAGAUCAAUUUUUUUAGACUCUGAACGCAGAUGUAGGGGGGGGGGGGGAUUACAGACAAAUCUCUAGACUGAAACUUUUUUUGCCUACUGUAAUGACGCCCUUUUAGCGCUCUUUGGUCCGUAAUGCUUCAACUAUUUUCUGUCUACUUGCAGUUUUCUAUCGCUGCCAUCUUUUUACCUCCUACUUUUACUCAGCAUGCGGAUAUACUCAGGGGGCAGGCAGGGAUGCGUUCAGUGUGUACUCCCUCUAAUUUUCUUUCUUUGCACCGGAGUAUUUCAUUUGUAUCAGGUUAUCUUAUUUUCUUCUUUUUUAUUGGAUUAUUCAUUGUUCUUCUCAGGGCUGUCAAAGGCGUAAAAUGGGUUCUGUAAAUCACUUUAUCUUGUACCUUCAUUUGUUCCAUCAUUUGAUUAUUCAUCGAGCAUUUGCCACUGUAAAAUAUUAUCAUCGGGCUGUUGUUACCCUCAACACUAACUUUUUGCAACUAUCCUAAGUGAGCUGGCUUGCUACAUAUUUUCCUCUGUUUCUUCGUUUUGAUUUUGCUUUUCAUUCCUCAGCACUAUCAAUUGCUCCUAGUAUGUAUUCAUACUUCAUUCUACUCUUCGACCCCUUUGAAGCCAUGUGGAGCAGUCUCCUCAUGAGCAUGUUGUACCUCAGGCAGAGCGCUCUGGCCUUAUGGGUUCAGGCUCAUGUUUGUGCAACUUCUUAUCAUGCAUUGUUUAAUCAGGAUUUUGUUUUUGUUUUGAUCAGUCCAUCAUUAUUUAGUUUCUUAGUUUUAUUAGUCAUUCACUUUCUUCAUUUUCUUUAGAUUUACUUCAGUUUCUUAGUUUUUGUUUCAGUCUUAGUGAUGUUGUCUUGCUUAUUUCAGUUUUACUUUUUCACUUAGCCUUUGCCAUUUAGGUUUAGUUCUUUGUAUCAAUUUUCUUUUUUCAGUCUCUAAUUUUUUCUUAUUAUAGUUUAUUUCUGUUUAAUUUAUUUCAUUCCAUGUUCAGUCAGUCUAUAUGUGCAUGUGGGUUUAGUUCUCAGUACCAGUCUCCAUGUUUUCAUUUCUGUAUCAGUCAUCAGUCAGGUUUCUUUAAACAGGGAGUGGCAUGAUUCGCAUACUUCGUUGGUUCUGUUUCUCAUAGGUCUUUGUCACUAGUAUUUGAUAAGUAUUUUAUCAGUUUUUAGUUCAUCAUUCUUUCAGUUUUUUAGUUUUUCCAAUUCCCUAAGGAUCUCACUCUUUUUUCUGUUUUCUCUGGUUCUCAGUUUCAUCAGUUUGCUCUUCUUUAUUUUCCCAUCAUUUUGUUCAGUCUCUCUUUCUUAGUCUCUUAGGUUCCUAGUUUCAUUCUUCAUUUUUCUUAUCUAAUCUCUCUUUAGUUUUCUCAGUCUUGUUUAGCAUGUCACCCGCUUCUCUUCCUAGUCUCUUAUUUUGAUCUUGUUUCCAGUACCCAAAGGCAUAAACUGUGUUCAGUAGGUCCUUCCCUGUUCGCUUAGUUUUUGUUAUUUUCCACUCUCUACUUGCUUCUUCUUAGGCACCUCAUAUUUUAUAUCUCAUGUGCAGCAGCAAAUGAGUCUUCAUCCGUUUUGUUUCUAAAUGAUGGCUCCGUAAAUUUAAUUUAGCACACCUUUAUCUUCUAGUUGUUUUAUUCAAGUGUUUUUUAGCAUCAUGUUAUAUUUUUUUUACGGUGAAGCAACCUACACAUACAAGCAAGAAGAUCAUCAUAAAAACUAAAGGGGUGUUCGGAAUCUCUCCCGUCUGCUAACUCCACUCCGCGCGAGGAGCGCGGUCUGAGCCGCUCCCAGCAAUUGUGCUGGCGCUCCAUCCGCUCCGCGAGCUGCUGUGGCGGAGCGGAGAGUAUCCGAACAGGGCUUAAACAUCUUGUUAUUGUUUUUUAUGCUCAAUAUCAGAAGUGCUACUAGCAGCCAAGUUGUAACCCUUUUUCUUUUUUAUUCUUGUUCCAUAGUCAAUCUAGAUUAUCAAUUUGAUCAUGUUUUAUAAUUUUGGUCAGUCAUCCUUUCUUGAUCAUAGUCAAUUAUUGUUAACCAUCAUGUUCUAGUGUUGUUUUCUUAGUGUGUGGAGACAGAUUUUUUAGAUAUGCUUUGCUUCAUAUUUUUUAUGGUAUACCCAGCAAUCAUAUUUCUUUUAGAUAGAGUAUGAUCAACCUAGGUUAUGUAUAUGCAGUCUAGUUUUUUUUGGGGAAUGGCAAGCCACCUCUGUUUGUUCAUUUUUUAGUUGUCGGUAGCAGCAAACUUCUUAUGUUGUACCCCACAAAAAGGCCCGCGGGAUUUUCUUUGUGCAUUCUUGCUUUUUGUGUACGACUGGCAAAUCUCUUUUUUUCAUCAUGCCCAACAGAUGGAGUGCCAAGUCAGUCUUAUUGCGCAAACUGCUAAUCUACGGGCGCAUCAUUUGGGGGUUUUCUAGCAGGGGACUUUGAAAUAUCAGUGCGCAGGCCUCCAGAAGCUCCAGUGCAUAGCGGACGGCUAAAGCGUGUGGAGAAUGUUAAGAGAGGGCGGGGUAGACCGAAUUUGACAUGGGAGGAGUCCGUUAAGAAAGAUCUGAAGGAUUGGAGUAUCACCAAAGAGCUAGCUAUGGACAGGGGUGCGUGAAAGCUUGUUAUCCAUGUGCCAAAGCCAUGAGUUGGUUGCAAGAUUUUAUGAGUUUCACCUCUAGCCUACCUUAACUUGUUUGGGACUAAAGGCUUUGUUGUUGUUGUUGCUGCUGUUGCUGCUGCUGCUGCUGCUGCUGCUGCUUGUAUGUCUGAAUUAGAGAAGUUAUUUAUUUGUUGAUGUACGUACUAGUUAGUUCUGUUGAUGUAUUAGUCUGGUUAAGUUCAAUGGUAGUUUUCCUCGGCCUUUUCCAGGAUUCA